ACGUUGCUCGGAAUCAUUGGGCGUAAAGCGCACGUAGGCGGUUCGUUAUGUCGGAUGUGAAAGCCCUUGGCUUAACCGAGGAAGUGCAUCCGAAACUGGCGAGCUAGAGUACUAAAGAGGAUCGCGGAAUUCCCGGUGUAGAGGUGAAAUGCGUAGAUAUCGGGAGGAACACCGGUGGCGAAGGCGGCGAUCUGGGUAGAUACUGACGCUGAGGUGCGAAAGCGUG
Molecule: ribosomal RNA, 226 nt
Filed under: uncultured bacterium
Lineage: Bacteria
Description: partial 16S ribosomal RNA
Rfam family: Bacterial small subunit ribosomal RNA
Source: RNAcentral